This is a long non-coding RNA of Entelurus aequoreus (snake pipefish), 1277 nucleotides long. RefSeq lists it as uncharacterized. Lineage: Eukaryota; Metazoa; Chordata; Actinopteri; Syngnathiformes; Syngnathidae. The transcript is spliced from 6 exons. The record is from RefSeq and is a predicted model, not a curated record.
UCUGGCCAUUUUGAGCGUUUAAUUGACCCCACAAAUGUGAUGCUCCAGAAACUCAAUCUGCUCAAAGGAAGGUCAGUUUUGUAGCUUCUGUAACAAGCUAAACUGUUUUCAGAUGUGUGGACAUGAUUGCACAAGGGUUUUCUAAUCAUCAAUUAGCCUUCUCAGCCAAUGAGCAAACACAUUGUACCAUUAGAACACUGGAGUGAUAGUUGCUGGACAUGGGCCUCUAUGUGGUCCGGAUCAUGUUUUUGUGUUUUCUGUUAGUUUUGGACUUCUUGUGCUAUUGCUUGUGCACCUGUGAGUUUGUUUGGUCACCAUGGUUACUUGAUUUUUCACCUGCCCUGCACGCGCACCUGUUACUCAUCAGAGACUCUAUUUAGUUCUGCCUUUUCCGGUCACUCUGUGUGGAGUCAUUCUUUUUACGUCACACCUAUGCCACUCCAGCUUAUGAACCUCAAACACCAUGAGAGGGGCAUCAAAUCUGCAAACAGAAUCUAAGAUCACAUUCUCGUGAUGAAGGGUCGGGCUCACAAUUUUGCGGAAACACUAGAAGACGAAUCUUGCCGACGUGAAAGACGGCAACUUGUACAAAGGAGCAAGAUUAAAGGAAAUUGAAGGGGAAGCGGAGAGAAGCGGCGUAGGGCAGGCUGGAGACGACGGUGCUGGGACUUGGCGGAAAUGAGCCAGCCUGGCGUGAACUUGCCUUCCAGCCUGGACAGAGGAAACAUGGAAAAUGUCACGGCCAGGGCGCAUUGGAAUGCGCCCUCAUCCUUGCGCUCUGCUUGUCGCACCUCGGGACACGCCCACUACCGUGCACAUCCAGGGACGCACUGCACGCAUCUCCGCCCUGCAGCAGCCGCCAGCUGCAAUCAUUCACCGGCAAUCAGCGCACCUGCCUCUAAUGAUCAAGCUGCCUUCUUAAGCCUGCACAAGCUGCCAUGCCGGGCCGGAAUAUAAUCUUCUGUUGGUGUACAUACCCUCCGUCGUCUUGAAAGUGAGCCGUGCGUCUCACUUUUCUCUGGUUCUCCCUCUGGACUCUUCCCUGCCUCCCUUGCGCUUCCUGAUCCUCGACUCCUCGCUUGCUCCCGGACUCUGACGUCUCUCUCUGCCCCACGGACCUCUCGCGGAUCUUGGACCCCUUUUGCCUUGCCCUCUUUGGAUUUGUCUGCUUCCUCAUCCAACAACACUAGGUAAAACACACUACAGCUAAUCACACACAUAGCUACACACCACAUACACCUUUGGAUCUAGUUCACACUCCAUUUCCUUAGUUUAUA